AUUCAGCUGACGAGUCCCAUACAAGACGAAACGCGCGUCCUGGAU
RNAcentral lists this non-coding RNA (45 nucleotides) under Schistosoma curassoni. The record is from RNAcentral. Lineage: Eukaryota; Metazoa; Platyhelminthes; Trematoda; Strigeidida; Schistosomatidae.